This 98-nucleotide microRNA precursor is filed under the name Camelus ferus (Wild Bactrian camel). Its description in RNAcentral is "mir-544 microRNA precursor family". It matches the Rfam family "mir-544 microRNA precursor family". The record is from Rfam by way of RNAcentral. Lineage: Eukaryota; Metazoa; Chordata; Mammalia; Artiodactyla; Camelidae.
AUCACAUAGGAAUCUUGCUAAAAUGCAGAUUCUGACUCAGUGGUUCUGGGGCAGGGCCUGAAACUCUGCAUUUGUGACAAGCUCCCAGGUAAUGCUGA